GUUGUAGCGUAGUUGGUUAACGCGCCAGAUUGUGGCUCUGGAGAUCGUGGGUUCGAGUCCCAUCUC
This 66-nucleotide transfer RNA is filed under the name pig gut metagenome. It matches the Rfam family "tRNA", at positions 7 to 64 of the family's 71-position model. Rfam says of the family: Transfer RNA (tRNA) molecules are approximately 80 nucleotides in length. Their secondary structure includes four short double-helical elements and three loops (D, anti-codon, and T loops). The record is from RNAcentral.